Molecule: long non-coding RNA, 191 nt
Organism: Eptesicus fuscus (big brown bat)
Lineage: Eukaryota; Metazoa; Chordata; Mammalia; Chiroptera; Vespertilionidae
Exons: 3
Source: RefSeq, a predicted model, not a curated record
GAAGAUUUCGUGAGGAAGAGCUAAAAGGGACAGGCUUCGGGAAGAAGAGAAGCAGCACACGCAGAAAAAGAAGAAGAAAAGAAAGGUAGCAACUCUACAGUGGCGAAACCUGGCAGAUACCACCUCAACCAAGUGGUUAAGAACAUCAACUCCAUGAGGGCAGAGAUUGUGUAUGCUUCCUUCACUGCCGU